GAGGGUAUAGCUCAGUGGUAGAGUGCAUGCUUAGCAUGCAUGAGGUCCUGGGUUCAAUCCCCAGGACCUCCA
Molecule: transfer RNA, 72 nt
Filed under: Camelus bactrianus (Bactrian camel)
Lineage: Eukaryota; Metazoa; Chordata; Mammalia; Artiodactyla; Camelidae
Also listed under: 2 other names
Rfam family: tRNA
About the family: Transfer RNA (tRNA) molecules are approximately 80 nucleotides in length.
Source: Rfam by way of RNAcentral